CAUCGAUGAAGAACGCAGCGAAAUGCGAUAAGUAAUGUGGAUUGCAGAAUUCAGCGAAUCAUCGAAUCUUUGAACGCACAUUGCGCCCGCCAGCAUUCUGGCGGGCAUGCCUGUUCGAGCGUCAUUUUCAACCCUCGAGCCCUGCUUGGUGUUGGG
This 156-nucleotide ribosomal RNA is filed under the name Periglandula sp. 2 WB-2014. RNAcentral's name for it is "5.8S ribosomal RNA". The stretch from base 1 to 124 matches the Rfam family "5.8S ribosomal RNA", at positions 31 to 154 of the family's 154-position model. Rfam says of the family: 5.8S ribosomal RNA (5.8S rRNA) is a component of the large subunit of the eukaryotic ribosome. It is transcribed by RNA polymerase I as part of the 45S precursor that also contains 18S and 28S rRNA. The record is from RNAcentral. Lineage: Eukaryota; Fungi; Ascomycota; Sordariomycetes; Hypocreales; Clavicipitaceae.